AGGAGGUGCCGGAGACCCGCGGAGUUACUCGGCCCUCCUCGCUCCAGAAGUGCGCCUUCUGCCAAUCCGAGCGCCUCGCGGGAGUGAUGGACGCGAGCGUGUGACCAAUGGGGAGGAGAGGGCUUCCGCAGCCGGCCUGAGGGGAAGGAGCGGGCGGGCCGGCCUUCCCCUCUCCGCCCGCGCCUCUCCGGGCCCGCCCUCCCCUCCCGCGCUGCUCGGGUCAGUCACGCAAAUAACAGUGUGAGGGCCGGGGCCGCGCGGGGGGGGGGGGGGGGCGGGGGCCCGCUGCUGGCUGCGUGACAGCGAUAGGGACUGGCUGUGCUGCCUACUCCGAUCCGGCAGGAGGAGGCGGCGGCGGAGGCUGGCUCCUUACUCUGCGUGCAGACGGCUGCUGCUGCUGCUGCUGCUCAGCCUCUGCCUGGCGCUGCCGGGGAACCCCUGCGGCCAAAGCCCACUCCCGAGGGACAGCCAGAUUUGGAGUGAAUCAGAUCACGCAGUGCCCACUCUUGGAAACCGCUCCAGGGGAAGUCCGGCGGGGCUGUGCGCUGGGAUCUGAGGAGGCUGGAAGCCGUAGGCGGGAGGCUUGGCCGUGACAUUUGCCCCUUGCUUGCUUGCCUGUUUUCUGGGAAAGUCGGGGUAGGGUGUGGGCAGGUCGAAACAGCUCCUGAAUAUGUCCUGGUUCUUUACUGAAUUUCUGGAAAAGGCACUUCUUAACCUGGUAUGAGCGAAGCUGUAAAUGCAUGUCGAUACCUCAGCUUCUUCCAACCCUCCCUCCCGCACUGCUCUUCCUCCCACUGGCUCACCUUGAACCCUGACGGCAGUGCUCCACAGCACCCACUACUAGAUCUUCUCCUCCCUGCUGAUUCCCAGGAGCUAUGGCUUUUCUCAAUUUCUUGGCUACUGUCCAGCAAUCAUUUUACAGACCUUAACCCUUUCCACACCCUUGUACUUGAAAGUACUGUAACUGUAACCACCAAUAAACCUGAAUGGAGAAGUUCACUAAAGCAAAUACACUGGCAAGAACCCACCUUCUUCCCCACAGGUGCAUUUCUGCACGUUAUUUGAGACUUAAAGACAAUUGCUUCUGUGAAGAAACUAAGGAAAGGCAAAUUAGACGUUGUAUCUCUAUUCAAAUUCACUUAGAAUAGCCGACGUCCCCUUUCCACAAAGGAGUCAUCUGGAGAGACCUAGGAAUAAUUUAGGUUUGGAGUCUUGAAGUGAGCGAAAUCUUUACAUAUGCGCGCGUGUGUGUGUGUAUGUACAUAUAUGUGUAUAUUUCAAAUAUAUAUGAAAUUGAAACCUACAGUGGUCUGGAAUGCAGAAGAGCGAUACUAAGUGAACACAAAGGUUUACUUUGGUCAUAUUGGGACCUUUCUUGAUUAUUGUCAUUUUAGGAUACAGAUCAUUCCCCUGGGCCUGUUAAGACAUACAGCCUGACACUUUUCCCUGUCUGAUUUUAGCCCUACUCCAUGAUUUCUUUCAGUAGUCCUGAGUCCACUUACAAAAAUGAGCUGUACCACAAACUUCUUGUAGCACACAGCUUGUGUAUGUGUUGCCUCUCAGUAUGCUGAAACUCCUUUGGAAUUCCACAGUGCAAGAAGGCCAGUGUCCUCAACCCAAGACAUGAUUUGCAAAAAGUGGACAGUGUUCCCUUAGCCAGAUCACCCUGUGUGUUUCUUAAAGGGAAGACACACCCAAAUUCCUGGGUCUGCUGAGACCUAUUGAGUUAUCAUCUCUGUAGGCUUUACCUGGACAUCUGCUCUUCAAACAAAUAUCCCAGGCCUUGUGGGGAAGGAGUGAUCCCUAAAAAAGAGGAUGAAGCUGGCGAAUAAUCUUCCAUAAAUGACAUGAGCAUACCUCAUAACUACAGCACUAAGAAGUAUGGGCAAGUCAAAUAAAAAUUUUAUAUGUCUGAAAAAAAAUCACUGUAAUUGAUGUUGUCUGUGAAUUGUAAUAUGUGAGAAGCUUACUAGUUUAUGAUCUCAAAAUACACAGAGACAAUUUUUUCUAUGUGGGAACAUUUCAAAAUGCAAAUUUCAAUGUAUUAAUUUCAACAAUUAUAGUGUUACUGUCAUUUUUCUUCCAAACAGUGAGAUGUACUAGUGAUGUACUGGUAGUGUACAAGUGAUGUAGUAGUGAUGUACUAGUAGUGUAAUAGUGAUGUACUAAGGCUGUGAUGGUUAUUUAAAAGACAAAGUACUGUAUGAGAUUUUUGGUGUCUCAAAUAGCUUACAAUCUAUUUGAGAGGCUCAAAAGUACACACAUGCAACAGUAAAACAGGAACCUGAGGAAACGUGUAGGGAGACUUUAAGUGUGCUUGUCAGAGAUAAGCAGAAUUUGGUUCAUUUCUAUCUAGUUUUCCUCUUGCUUAUCUCUACUUUCUAAUCUGUUGUGAUUAUGAGUUACAUGUCUUUUUAAAAAUCUUAUGAAAAAAACCAAACAGUAUGUGAUAAUAAAAGAUUUCCUUUUUAUUGUUAU
This is a non-coding RNA of Chlorocebus sabaeus (green monkey), 2478 nucleotides long. The record is from RefSeq and is a predicted model, not a curated record. NCBI's taxonomy places the organism in Eukaryota, Metazoa, Chordata, Mammalia, Primates, Cercopithecidae.